CUUUUACAUGCUUUAAAUACCUUAAAGUAGGCAGAAUCUCAAAUAGUGCAAGGAUGCGUGUUGCCCUAUGGCGACAGUGAGUGGCGACAGUGAGCUGUUAUAGAGCUGUCCAGACUUUUCCUGCCUCGAGUGAGUGCCAGCUGUCCUUGCAUGGAGUCCUGGUUCCUUUGGUGGAGGAUGGUGUUGAAAAUCUCAGCCUUUGCGGCGGGGAGCGGGGGCAUGGGACACAGGGAGUUGGUGGUGGGCAGAGAUGCUGCUGGGCCACUUUCAGUGACAAAACGUGACAGCGAAGGCUCUUGAAGUCAGUGCAGGCACCUUCAGGGAUACAACCCCUUCGACCAGGGCUGUGCCAGCAACUGGUAUUUAACAAUUUGUGCACCACUGGGACCCAAGUACAUGGCUGAAGCUGUCCAGCUGCAGAGAGUGGUGGGGCCUGACUGGACAUCCAUG
RNAcentral lists this small RNA (450 nucleotides) under Pongo abelii (Sumatran orangutan). Its description in RNAcentral is "retained intron". Lineage: Eukaryota; Metazoa; Chordata; Mammalia; Primates; Hominidae. The record is from RNAcentral.